Molecule: ribosomal RNA, 506 nt
Filed under: uncultured bacterium
Lineage: Bacteria
Description: partial 16S ribosomal RNA
Rfam family: Bacterial small subunit ribosomal RNA
Source: RNAcentral
GGUGAACGCUAGCUACAGGCUUAACACAUGCAAGUCGAGGGGCAGCAUGGUCUUAGCUUGCUAAGGCCGAUGGCGACCGGCGCACGGGUGAGUAACACGUAUCCAACCUGCCGUCUACUCUUGGACAGCCUUCUGAAAGGAAGAUUAAUACAAGAUGGCAUCAUGAGUCCACAUGUUCACAUGAGUAACGGUAUUCCGGUAGACGAUGGGGAUGCGUUCCAUUAGAUAGUAGGCGGGGUAACGGCCCACCUAGUCUUCGAUGGAUAGGGGUUCUGGGAGGAGGGUCCCCCACAUUGGAACUGAGACACGGUACAAACUCGUACGGGAGGCAGCAGUGAGGAAUAUUCGUCAAUGGGCGAGAGCCUGAACCAGCCGAGUAGCGUGAAGGAUGACUGCCCUAUGGGUUGUAAACUUCUUUAAUAAAGGAAUAAAGUCGGGUAUGCAUACCCGUUUGCAUGUACUUUAUGAAUAAGGAUCGGCUAACUCCGUGCCAGCCGCCGCAGUAA